Molecule: long non-coding RNA, 2083 nt
Organism: Macaca fascicularis (crab-eating macaque)
Lineage: Eukaryota; Metazoa; Chordata; Mammalia; Primates; Cercopithecidae
Source: Ensembl
UUUUUUUUUUUUUUUUUUUCCCCUUUCUCAGACGAAGUCUCGCCCUUAUCGCUCGGGCUGGAGUGCAGUGGCGCGAUCUUGGCUCACUGCAAGCCCUGCCUCCCGGGUUCAAGCGAUUCUCCUGCCUCAGCCUCCUGAGUAGCUGAGGCAGGAAAAUAGCUUGAACCCGGGAGGCGGAGGCUGCCAUGAGCCGAGACCACACCAUUGCACUCCAGUCUAGGCAACAAGAGUGAAACUCUGUCUCAAAAAACUAGAUAGAUAAAUAAAUAAAUCAUAUAGUGUUAAUUUGGGAUUAUACUGUAUGCCAAAAAAUAAAGUUCAUACAUUUAUAGAACUAGAAGUAAGGCCAGGUAUGGUGCUUCAUGCCCGUAAUCCCAGUACCUUUUGGGUGACUGAGGCAGGAGGAUUGCUUGAGCCCAGGAAUUUGAGACCAGCUUAGACAACAUAGUGAGACCCUGUCUCUACCAAACAUUAAAAGAAAAAAGAAUUAGCUGGGCAUAGUGGCACUGCCUGUGGUCCCAGCUACUUGGGAGGCUGAGGUGAGAGGAUCCGCUUGAGCCCAGGAGGUCGAGGCUGCCUUGAGCUGUGGUAGGGCCACUGCACCCCAGCCUGGGUGACAGAGCAAGACUGCAUCUCUAAAAGAGAAGACAGACACAGAAGGUAGAGAAAUCCCAAUGAGUAAUAUUGCCCCUUUCUUAAAAAGUAUAAUCGUUUAGUAGGAAAAUGAGAAAGUUUGAAAGAGUAUUUUUUAACCUAAAUGAAAUCAUAAAUUGCUUUAAGAGGCUCUUUCAUUUCAUUUUUAAUUGCCAAAACACUUUUCUCAAGUUUGAAAAUACCUAAAAGCCAUAUUAUUUUAAUAGAGUCAUUAGUUUUACACAGUUAUUCUUGAUCCCUCUUUCUCCCUCACUUGCCACAGUCAGUCCUUUAUAAAGUAGUGCUGAUUCUAUUGCCUUCACAUUGCUCUAAUCUGAACCUCUUUGUUCUCUUCAACCGCUGCUGUAGUUUAAGCCUGGGUUUGCAAACUAGCAACUCAAGGGCCACCUUCAGCCUACACACAAGCUGUGUUUGGCCUGUGCAAAGUUGAAAGUUUAAAAAAUGUGUUGCCAACGUUUAAAAAUUUGGAAGUUGUGCUUAAAAAUGCAGCUCUUAGCUUCUUUUAAAAAAUCAAAAUAUCAUAGCUAGGUGUGGUGGCUCGCACCUGCAGUCCCAGCUAUUCAGGAGACUGAGGAAGGAGGCCUGCUUGAGCCCAGGAGUUCCAGGCUGCAGGGAGCUAUGAUUGCGCCACUGCACCCCAACCUGGGCGACAGAGAGAGACCCCGUCUUUGAAAAAGAAAAAAGAGAAACCAGAACAUCUGGCAACCCUAGGCCCACAUGUUUCUUUCAACUGGUUCGCUUCACUUCUUAAGGACGACCAGUCUCCUCUAUCCAGCCUUCCACCCUUACCUCAAUAUAGUGCUAUAUCUUCCCCAUCUCCUGUCCACAUUGUCAAAAGUGGUUUUCUCAUCGGAUUCGAUCAAAUCACUUCUUGAUUUGCAUAUACUUGAUUUGCUGAUUGUUUUCAGGAUACAAUCCAAACUCCUGAACAUGGCGUUUCACGACCUGGUUUCCCCACACCAGAACGCCCACCCCACGCUGCUGCUCACUCCGUCCCAGCUCCGGCUGCCAGCACCUGCCGUCCCCAGACCGCACUUCCUUCCUUCCCUCUGCCGUGCUGCUCUCUCCGCCUUCUCUUCUCGCUCCUGGCUCACCCGUACUCAGCCUUCAGAACUCUGCGCUGACAUCCCUCUCCCGAGAGCCCCCAGAAGCCUUUCUCCCCCGCCGUUUCACGAUCCCAGAGCAACCUGUGCUCUUACUUGCGAGCGCUUCAUUUAAAUGCUCGAGAUCUCCAAACACCAGCGGCGGACAUUAGGCCAGGGCGGGCUAGGUGGGGUUAAUCGUGCCGGGAUUAGAGCAGCGUUAUUGCCUAGUCUACAUCUCGGACUGAGUUCGGUCCCCAGCGUGUAAUGUGACGCGGGUAAAUACGGGCCCGCCCCGGCACGGAUCCCUGAGACCACCAUCCCCGCCGCUCGCGAGCCGGCCCCGC